Haliotis rubra (blacklip abalone) is the source of this 274-nucleotide long non-coding RNA. RefSeq lists it as uncharacterized. The transcript has 2 exons. The record is from RefSeq and is a predicted model, not a curated record. Lineage: Eukaryota; Metazoa; Mollusca; Gastropoda; Lepetellida; Haliotidae.
UUUUGAUUGGCUGUGCUAUAAACGGAAAUAACCCCUGACAUUACGGGAAGUUAAAGUGCGACACGUCUGCAUCAGGGAUUUGCCGUUGUGUAUAAUCACACCUGCUUGUGUAUUUCGUCUAAAUAAUCAAGUUUAGGAACCAUCAAAUUUACAAACAGGAUGAUUACUGACGUCCAGCUGGCCAUCUUUGCCAAUGCCCUAGGAGUGUCUCUGUUCCUCCUAGUGGUUCUGUAUCACUAUGUGUCGGUCAACAACACAAAGAAAUCAGAGUAGU